This 464-nucleotide ribosomal RNA is filed under the name uncultured eukaryote. Its description in RNAcentral is "bacterial SSU rRNA". It matches the Rfam family "Eukaryotic small subunit ribosomal RNA", at positions 202 to 664 of the family's 1831-position model. The record is from RNAcentral.
AGCGUUUAUUAGAUUUAAACCAAUAUUCCGCAAGGUCUACUGAGAUGAUUCAUGAUAACUGAUCGAAUUGCUGGAACUCUAGCAAUAAAUCAUGUAGGUUUCUGCUUCCCAUCAGCUUGAUGGUAGUGUAUUGGACUACCAUGGCAGUCACGGGUAACGGAGAAUUAGGGUUCGAUUCCGGAGAGGGAGCCUGAGAAACGGCUACCACAUCUACGGAAGGCAGCAGGCGCGUAAAUUACCCAAUCCUGAUUCAGGGAGGUAGUGACAAGAAAUAACAACUCGGGGCAUUUUUUAAUGCUUCGAAUUUUGCAAUGGGAACAAUCUAAAUCACUUAUCGAGGAACAAUUGGAGGGCAAGUCUGGUGCCAGCAGCCGCGGUAAUUCCAGCUCCAAUAGCGUAUAUUAAAGUUGUUGCAGUUUAAAAAAGCUCGUAGUUGAAUUUUCUGAUUAUGAAUGUACUGGUAA